Molecule: microRNA precursor, 98 nt
Filed under: Marmota monax (woodchuck)
Lineage: Eukaryota; Metazoa; Chordata; Mammalia; Rodentia; Sciuridae
Source: RNAcentral
AGUAGAAUUGCUAGGUCAUAUGGUAACUGAUUGUUUGAAGAUCUGCCAGACUAUUUUCCAAAGUGAAUGAAUACAUGCUUUAUAUUCCUACCAGCAGU